UACGUAGGGGGCAAGCGUUGUCCGGAAUCAUUGGGCGUAAAGAGCGUGUAGGCGGCUCGAUAAGUCCGCUGUGAAAGUCCAGGGCUCAACCCUGGAAGGCCGGUGGAAACUGUCGGGCUAGAGUCCGGAAGAGGCGAGUGGAAUUCCCGGUGUAGCGGUGAAAUGCGCAGAUAUCGGGAGGAACACCAAUGGCGAAGGCAGCUCGCUGGGACGGUACUGACGCUGAGACGCGAAAAGCGUGGGGAGCAACAGG
This 253-nucleotide ribosomal RNA is filed under the name uncultured bacterium. Its description in RNAcentral is "partial 16S ribosomal RNA". It matches the Rfam family "Bacterial small subunit ribosomal RNA", at positions 524 to 775 of the family's 1533-position model. The record is from RNAcentral.